CCUUCCAUCUGAAGGGCACAGUGUCAAACAAUCUUUUCUACACUACACAUGUGCCAAGUGACGUCAUGUCUCCGCCCACUCUGUAGGGGUUGAGCGAGGUGGGCACCGCUCCAGUGAGCGAGCCCAGGUCCUCAGUUAGAGGCGCCUCCUGCCGGCCGGGCCCCGUAUGUGAAUUAUACAAAUGGGAUUGAGCAAGCUGGAUGUUCUCUACAGACGGUUACUCCUUGCUAAGUUUUUCAUCCGAGGAUGGGGAAAACCAGAAGACUUGAAACAGAUAUUUGAAUUUCGUAAAAUUAUUGGAAACAGAGAAAAAUGUCAGCACCUUGUGCCAAAAGAUUACCCAGUGUACAUUGACAAGGUAAUGCUUAUGGACUUUCUAGAGACCCAGAAAAUCCUUAAAGGGGG
Molecule: long non-coding RNA, 405 nt
Organism: Bufo gargarizans (Asiatic toad)
Lineage: Eukaryota; Metazoa; Chordata; Amphibia; Anura; Bufonidae
Exons: 3
Source: RefSeq, a predicted model, not a curated record